Cinara cedri is the source of this 338-nucleotide non-coding RNA. The record is from the annotation of a GenBank genome assembly. NCBI's taxonomy places the organism in Eukaryota, Metazoa, Arthropoda, Insecta, Hemiptera, Aphididae.
GGUCUAUCGAGAGUACAACAGAGGUUCCGGAGGAUUUGUGGAAGAAAAUUUGGAGAGAUGAAAACGUCGUAAAUGGCCUCGUCAACGAUCCAACCCAGAGAGUUUCAGGUUUUGAACUCCCUCGUGAAAAGUGGACCGUUCUAAACCGAAUUAGAACAGAACAGGAAAAAUGUAAUUUCCUUUUACAUAAAUAGAAAAUGGUAGAUACACCACUCUGUGAGUGUAGGCCGGUCCGAACCAUCAAACACGUUGCAGAGGUAUGCCCUCUAACAAAGUAUGAAGGAGGGAUAGUAGGGCUUCACAAAGGAGACAGCUAGGCACAAGAUUGGCUUAGUACC